This 465-nucleotide ribosomal RNA is filed under the name Vreelandella stevensii. Its description in RNAcentral is "partial 16S ribosomal RNA". It matches the Rfam family "Bacterial small subunit ribosomal RNA", at positions 338 to 795 of the family's 1533-position model. The record is from RNAcentral. Lineage: Bacteria; Pseudomonadati; Pseudomonadota; Gammaproteobacteria; Oceanospirillales; Halomonadaceae.
CCUACGGGUGGCAGAAGUGGGGAAUAUUGGACAAUGGGCGAAAGCCUGAUCCAGCCAUGCCGCGUGUGUGAAGAAGGCCUUCGGGUUGUAAAGCACUUUCAGUGGGGAAGAAAGCCUUGGGGCUAAUACCCUCGAGGAAGGACAUCACCCACAGAAGAAGCACCGGCUAACUCCGUGCCAGCAGCCGCGGUAAUACGGAGGGUGCGAGCGUUAAUCGGAAUUACUGGGCGUAAAGCGCGCGUAGGCGGUCUGAUAAGCCGGUUGUGAAAGCCCCGGGCUCAACCUGGGAACGGCAUCCGGAACUGUCAGGCUAGAGUGCAGGAGAGGAAGGUAGAAUUCCCGGUGUAGCGGUGAAAUGCGUAGAGAUCGGGAGGAAUACCAGUGGCGAAGGCGGCCUUCUGGACUGACACUGACGCUGAGGUGCGAAAGCGUGGGUAGCAAACAGGAUUAGAUACCCCGGUAGUC